Molecule: ribosomal RNA, 459 nt
Filed under: uncultured bacterium
Lineage: Bacteria
Description: partial 16S ribosomal RNA
Rfam family: Bacterial small subunit ribosomal RNA
Source: RNAcentral
CCUACGGGAGGCUGCAGUGAGGAAUAUUGGUCAAUGGGCGGAAGCCUGAACCAGCCAAGUAGCGUGCGGGAUGAAGGCCCUACGGGUCGUAAACCGCUUUUGCACGGGGAUAACACCCUCCACUUGUGGAGGUCUGCAGGUACCGUGCGAAUAAGGGCCGGCUAAUUCCGUGCCAGCAGCCGCGGUAAUACGGAAGGCCCGAGCGUUAUCCGGAUUCAUUGGGCUUAAAGGGAGCGUAGGCGGGCGUUCAAGUCAGCUGUAAAAUCGCGCGGCUCAACCGCGCCCCGCAGUUGAAACUGGACGCAUUGAGUUCACAACAGGCAGGCGGAAUUCGUGGUGUAGCGGUGAAAUGCAUAGAUAGCACGAGGAACCCCGAUUGCGAAGGCAGCCUGCCGGGGUGCGACUGACGCUGAGGCUCGAAGGUGCGGGUAUCAAACAGGAUUAGAUACCCCAGUAGUC